UGAACCGUUAUAACCGGCGAUACCCGAAUGGGGAAACCCAGUGUGAUUCGUCACACUAUCAUUAACUGAAUCCAUAGGUUAAUGAGGCGAACCGGGGGAACUGAAACAUCUAAGUACCCCGAGGAAAAGAAAUCAACCGAGAUUCCCCCAGUAGCGGCGAGCGAACGGGGAGGAGCCCAGAGCCUGAAUCAGCAUGUGUGUUAGUGGAAGCGUCUGGAAAGGCGCGCGAUACAGGGUGACAGCCCCGUACACAAAAGCGCAUGUGCUGUGAGCUCGAUGAGUAGGGCGGGACACGUGGUAUCCUGUCUGAAUAUGGGGGGACCAUCCUCCAAGGCUAAAUACUCCUGACUGACCGAUAGUGAACCAGUACCGUGAGGGAAAGGCGAAAAGAACCCCGGCGAGGGGAGUGAAAAAGAACCUGAAACCGUGUACGUACAAGCAGUGGGAGCACAGGUUUACCUGUGUGACUGCG
This 472-nucleotide ribosomal RNA is filed under the name Salmonella enterica subsp. enterica serovar Litchfield. RNAcentral describes it as "partial 23S ribosomal RNA". It matches the Rfam family "Bacterial large subunit ribosomal RNA", at positions 91 to 601 of the family's 2925-position model. Lineage: Bacteria; Pseudomonadati; Pseudomonadota; Gammaproteobacteria; Enterobacterales; Enterobacteriaceae. The record is from RNAcentral.